This 390-nucleotide ribosomal RNA is filed under the name uncultured bacterium. Its description in RNAcentral is "bacterial SSU rRNA". It matches the Rfam family "Bacterial small subunit ribosomal RNA", at positions 30 to 422 of the family's 1533-position model. The record is from RNAcentral.
AUUGAACGCUGGCGGCAUGCCUUACACAUGCAAGUCGAACGGUAACGGGCCUUCGGGUGCCGACGAGUGGCGAACGGGUGAGUAAUGCAUCGGAACGUACCUUUCAGUGGGGGAUAACGUAGCGAAAGUUACGCUAAUACCGCAUAUUCUGUGAGCAGGAAAGCAGGGGAUCGCAAGACCUUGCGCUGAUUGAGCGGCCGAUGUCAGAUUAGCUAGUUGGUGAGGUAAAGGCUCACCAAGGCGACGAUCUGUAGCGGGUCUGAGAGGAUGAUCCGCCACACUGGAACUGAGACACGGUCCAGACUCCUACGGGAGGCAGCAGUGGGGAAUUUUGGACAAUGGGGGCAACCCUGAUCCAGCCAUGCCGCGUGAGUGAAGAAGGCCUUCGGG